CCUUCGGUGUCGUAGCUAACGCGUUAAGUGUUCCGCCUGGGGGAGUACGCACGCAAGUGUGAAACUCAAAGGAAUUGANCGGGGGCCCGCACAAGCGGUGGAGUAUGUGGUUUAAUUCGAUGCAACGCGAAGAACCUUACCAGGGUUUGACAUCCUGCGAACCUCUUAGAAAUUUGAGGGUGCCUUCGGGAAUGCAGUGACAGGUGGUGCAUGGCUGUCGUCAGCUCGUGUCGUGAGAUGUUGGGUUAAGUCCCGCAACGAGCGCAACCCACGUUUUUAGUUGCCAGCAUUUAGUUGGGCACUCUAGAAAGACCGCCGGUGAUAAACCGGAGGAAGGUGUGGAUGACGUCAAGUCAUCAUGCCCCUUACACCCUGGGCUACACACGUACUACAAUGCUACGGACAAAGGGCAGCAAACUCGCGAGAGCUAGCAAAUCCCAUAAACCGUGGCUCAGUUCUGAUCGUAGGCUGCAACUCGCCUACGUGAAGUAGGAAUCGCUAGUAAUCGCAGGUCAGCAUACUGCGGUGAAUACGUUCCCGGGCCUUGUACACACCGCCCGUCACACCAUGGAAGUUGGCCAUGCCCGAAGUCGUUACUCCAACCCUUGUGGAGGAGGACGCCGAAGGUGGGGCUAAUGACUGGGGUGAAGUCGUAACAAGGUA
RNAcentral lists this ribosomal RNA (663 nucleotides) under uncultured Prochlorococcus sp. RNAcentral's name for it is "bacterial SSU rRNA". It matches the Rfam family "Bacterial small subunit ribosomal RNA", at positions 837 to 1498 of the family's 1533-position model. The record is from RNAcentral. Lineage: Bacteria; Bacillati; Cyanobacteriota; Cyanophyceae; Synechococcales; Prochlorococcaceae.